GACGAACCGAGCGACCGUUGUUCGGAAUCACUGGGCUUAAAGGGCGCGUAGGCGGUGCGGUAAGUCACCUGUGAAAUCUCCUGGCUCAACUGGGAGCUUGCAGGCGAAACUGCCGUGCUGGAGUGUGGGAGAGGUGCGUGGAAUUCCUGGUGUAGCGGUGAAAUGCGUAGAUAUCAGGAGGAACACCUGUGGCGAAAGCGGCGCACUGGACCACAACUGACGCUGAGGCGCGAAAGCUAGGGGAGCAAACAGG
RNAcentral lists this ribosomal RNA (253 nucleotides) under uncultured bacterium. Its description in RNAcentral is "partial 16S ribosomal RNA". It matches the Rfam family "Bacterial small subunit ribosomal RNA", at positions 524 to 776 of the family's 1533-position model. The record is from RNAcentral.